GUUGGGCCAAGUCUCAUCAAUGAAAUCCUUGGAUUGCUUGCCUGUUUUCAAAAUGGCACCUUCAGAGUCUUCAUUCAAAGAGUCAUUUGUGGUUGGGCCAGGUAUGCUGCAUCUAUUGAAAGAUCCUUUCAUGCUUUCACUGCAUUUCUCUAUAGAAACAUUUCCUUCUGAGAAUGAAGUUGAUAUGCUGCAAGAUUGAACUUGUGUAGCCGCUUUUCUUUUCAUUAGAACGGACACAAGGGUCUGCUGGAGACCAUGAAUCAUUGGGAGAUAUCUAGCAGACAAAGAAGGG
This 292-nucleotide unclassified non-coding RNA is filed under the name Hevea brasiliensis (rubber tree). Lineage: Eukaryota; Viridiplantae; Streptophyta; Magnoliopsida; Malpighiales; Euphorbiaceae. The record is from RNAcentral.